This 243-nucleotide ribosomal RNA is filed under the name uncultured Actinomycetales bacterium. Its description in RNAcentral is "partial 16S ribosomal RNA". It matches the Rfam family "Bacterial small subunit ribosomal RNA", at positions 88 to 334 of the family's 1533-position model. Lineage: Bacteria; Bacillati; Actinomycetota; Actinomycetes; Actinomycetales. The record is from RNAcentral.
UACUCGAGUGGCGAACUGGUGAGUAACACGUGGGUGAUCUGCCCUUCACUUCGGGAUAAGCCUGGGAAACUGGGUCUAAUACUGGAUAGGACCAUCGUUUAGUGUCGGUGGUGGAAAGUUUUUUCGGUGGAGGAUGAGCUCGCGGCCUAUCAGCUUGUUGGUGGGGUAAUGGCCUACCAAGGCGACGACGGGUAGCCGGCCUGAGAGGGUGGACGGCCACAUUGGGACUGAGACACGGCCCAG